GACGAACCGAGCGAACGUUGUUCGGAAUCACUGGGCUUAAAGGGCGCGUAGGCGGGUGCUCAAGUCCGGGGUGAAAUCCUCCAGCUCAACUGGAGAACUGCCUCGGAUACUGGGUGUCUCGAGGGUGAUAGGGGUAUGCGGAACUAUCGGUGGAGCGGUGAAAUGCGUUGAUAUCGAUAGGAACUCCGGUGGCGAAGGCGGCAUACUGGAUCACUUCUGACGCUGAGGCGCGAAAGCCAGGGGAGCGAACGGG
Molecule: ribosomal RNA, 253 nt
Filed under: uncultured bacterium
Lineage: Bacteria
Description: partial 16S ribosomal RNA
Rfam family: Bacterial small subunit ribosomal RNA
Source: RNAcentral